Molecule: long non-coding RNA, 540 nt
Filed under: Equus asinus (donkey)
Lineage: Eukaryota; Metazoa; Chordata; Mammalia; Perissodactyla; Equidae
Description: lncRNA (ENSEASG00005031441.1)
Source: RNAcentral
GGCAGGGAGCCCUCGCUUGGAGGACUCUUUGAAUAGUGCUCCCUAGCUGGGGCCGGUUUGCGCUGGGCUGCCUUAUGGAGCCUCACCGCCUGCAGAGAUGACGAGGACCGUGCGUACACCUACUGGGUGCCGGCUUGUGCUGUGCGCCCUGGGGAGGAGAAACGUCGAGCCUGACCCCCAGGAGCUCCUGUUCUCCCCAGGGAGAGGACAGUAAACCGAUGAGAAUGACCCUAAGAGUCACUGUAAGAUUUGGACCCCUCUGGCUGCAGGUGGGCGAUGGCCUCAGGGACUGUGCAGAGGCAGGAGACCAGGGAGGCGGUGACUGCGAUAGUUCCGGUCGGAGAGGAUGGAGGCAGACCAGGGUGACCACGGAGGCAUUUUACAGACCCAAAAAAAUGCGAAGGGUCUUCCCAGCCGCCAGGCUUACACUGAGAACACUUUCUGGGAUGUUCUUGGGACUGUGACCUGAAUGGGGACCACGGAUCCUGGGCAAAAUCAUGCAAUGACUUUCCUCUUCCUAGGAGCAGGUGGGAAUAACAG